Molecule: long non-coding RNA, 752 nt
Filed under: Chloebia gouldiae (Gouldian finch)
Lineage: Eukaryota; Metazoa; Chordata; Aves; Passeriformes; Passeridae
Description: Erythrura gouldiae (Gouldian finch) lncRNA (ENSEGOG00005015262.1)
Source: RNAcentral
CUGGAGGAGACUGAGACACUCUUUCAGCCUCCUUGGACACUCCUUCAGUCUCCUCUGGUGACUAGUUGGAAGGAUGAAGCUCCUGGCUCUUUGUGGCUUUUUGUUUGUCUGUGUUCUGUGCCUCAGUGUUGUUGCUGUAGAAGGUCAGGUUAGAAGACGCUGCUGCUCAAAAGUACCCAAACGCAACAAAAAUCCACAUGAAGGUAUAAGUUCUAAAAUUAUUGCAGUGCCAACAAGGAGAUACUGCAAGCCUUGUCGUUGGCGAGACCCUAUGUUUCCUGGACCACUUCCACAGCUAAAAUAAGCAGGCUGAGAGGAGGGUGAAAAGCAUCUGCCUACAUGCACAACCACCAGUGCUUCACUAUCUUGAGGAUCUUCUUUCACAGACAGGACAUGAGUGUACAUUGCUUUGUGUUUGGGGAAAGGCUUCAUUACUGUUUAUUCAUUCCUUCACUCAGGCACCUUUGAUAGUAUUAACCUGGCAGAAAGAGUCAGGCAAACUUGUCUGGCUGCCACCAGACUUUGUGGAAUAUUCCUCUGCACCAAGCAAGGAUUUAGCUCCUCAAGAGAGAAUGAAGAGGUAGCUGAAUUGCACUGGUUUGCAUUUCUAAAUGCCUUUUAGGCAUUCCAUUGCCUAAAAGGGGGUGAAGGGCUGAUGUUUUUGUUUCUAGUUCUCAGUAUACAUGCAUAUUUAAACUUUUCUUGAAUCAUUUAUUUUAUAUUAAUAAAGGUGCUUGUUUUUAUGAUUAUCA